This 254-nucleotide ribosomal RNA is filed under the name uncultured bacterium. RNAcentral's name for it is "partial 16S ribosomal RNA". It matches the Rfam family "Bacterial small subunit ribosomal RNA", at positions 524 to 776 of the family's 1533-position model. The record is from RNAcentral.
UACGGAGGGAGCUAGCGUUAUUCGGAAUUACUGGGCGUAAAGCGCACGUAGGCGGCUUUGCAAGUUAGAGGUGAAAGCCUGGAGCUCAACUCCAGAACUGCCUUUAAAACUGCAUCGCUUGAAUCCAGGAGAGGUGAGUGGAAUUCCGAGUGUAGAGGUGAAAUUCGUAGAUAUUCGGAAAGAACACCAGUGGCGAAGGCGGCUCACUGGACUGGUAUUGACGCUGAGGUGCGAAAGCGUGGGGAGCAAACAGG